This 474-nucleotide ribosomal RNA is filed under the name uncultured bacterium. Its description in RNAcentral is "partial 16S ribosomal RNA". It matches the Rfam family "Bacterial small subunit ribosomal RNA", at positions 28 to 507 of the family's 1533-position model. The record is from RNAcentral.
GAUGAACGCUAGCGGCAGGCCUAACACAUGCCAGUCGAGGGAGGAGCUUUCGGGCUUCGACCGGCGUACGGGUGCGUAACGCGUAUACAAUCUGCCUUUCACAUAGGGAUAGCCCGAAGAAAUUUGGAUUAAUACCUAAUGGUAUAUAGAGGUGGCAUCACCUUUAUAUUAAAGCUGAGGCGGUGAAAGAUGAGUAUGCGUUCUAUUAGCUAGUUGGAGAGGUAACGGCUCCCCAAGGCGACGAUAGAUAGGGGUUCUGAGAGGGAUAUCCCCCACACUGGUACUGAGAUACGGACCAGACUCCUACGGGAGGCAGCAGUGAGGAAUAUUGGACAAUGGUCGGAAGACUGAUCCAGCCAUGCCGCGUGCAGGAAGACGGCCUUAUGGGUUGUAAACUGCUUUUGCAGGGGAAGAAUAAGGACUACGCGUAGUUUGAUGACGGUACUCUGCGAAUAAGCAUCGGCUAACUCCGUG